This 325-nucleotide ribosomal RNA is filed under the name uncultured eukaryote. Its description in RNAcentral is "partial 18S ribosomal RNA". It matches the Rfam family "Eukaryotic small subunit ribosomal RNA", at positions 1470 to 1796 of the family's 1831-position model. The record is from RNAcentral.
CCCUUAGAUGUUCUGGGCCGCACGCGCGCUACACUGAUGCAUUCAACGAGCCUAUCCUUGACCGACAGGUCCGGGUAAUCUUUGAAUCUGCAUCGUGACGGGGAUAGAUUAUUGCAAUUAUUAAUCUUCAACGAGGAAUGCCUAGUAGGCGCAAGUCAUCAGCUUGCGUCGAUUACAUCCCUGCCCUUUGUACACACCGCCCGUCGCUCCUACCGAUUGGGUGUGCUGGUGAAAUGUUCGGAUCGGCCGUUUGUCGCGGUUUCCGCGUCAUGUGGCUGAGAAGUUCAUUAAACCCUCCCACCGAGAGGAAGGAGAAGUCGUAACA